Molecule: transfer RNA, 89 nt
Filed under: candidate division MSBL1 archaeon SCGC-AAA259D18
Lineage: Archaea; Methanobacteriati; Methanobacteriota
Description: tRNA-Ser
Rfam family: tRNA
About the family: Transfer RNA (tRNA) molecules are approximately 80 nucleotides in length. Their secondary structure includes four short double-helical elements and three loops (D, anti-codon, and T loops).
Source: RNAcentral
GCCGGGGUGGCCCAGUCUGGUACGGCGCUGGCUUGCUAAGCCAGUUGCGCGUGAGCGCUUCCUGGGUUCGAAUCCCAGCCCCGGCGCCA